Molecule: ribosomal RNA, 465 nt
Filed under: uncultured Klebsiella sp.
Lineage: Bacteria; Pseudomonadati; Pseudomonadota; Gammaproteobacteria; Enterobacterales; Enterobacteriaceae
Description: bacterial SSU rRNA
Rfam family: Bacterial small subunit ribosomal RNA
Source: RNAcentral
CCUACGGGAGGCUGCAGUGGGGAAUAUUGCACAAUGGGCGCAAGCCUGAUGCAGCCAUGCCGCGUGUGUGAAGAAGGCCUUCGGGUUGUAAAGCACUUUCAGCGGGGAGGAAGGCGGUGAGGUUAAUAACCUCAUCGAUUGACGUUACCCGCAGAAGAAGCACCGGCUAACUCCGUGCCAGCAGCCGCGGUAAUACGGAGGGUGCAAGCGUUAAUCGGAAUUACUGGGCGUAAAGCGCACGCAGGCGGUCUGUCAAGUCGGAUGUGAAAUCCCCGGGCUCAACCUGGGAACUGCAUUCGAAACUGGCAGGCUAGAGUCUUGUAGAAGGGGGUAGAAUUCCAGGUGUAGCGGUGAAAUGCGUAGAGAUCUGGAGGAAUACCGGUGGCGAAGGCGGCCCCCUGGACAAAGACUGACGCUCAGGUGCGAAAGCGUGGGGAGCAAACAGGAUUAGAUACCCUUGUAGUC